RNAcentral lists this ribosomal RNA (576 nucleotides) under uncultured Candidatus Saccharibacteria bacterium. RNAcentral's name for it is "bacterial SSU rRNA". It matches the Rfam family "Bacterial small subunit ribosomal RNA", at positions 777 to 1365 of the family's 1533-position model. The record is from RNAcentral. Lineage: Bacteria; Candidatus Saccharimonadota.
AUUAGAUACCCUGGUAGUCCACGCCGCUAAACUAUGGAUGCUAGCUGUUAUUCGUAUCGACCCGAGUAGUAGCGAAGCUAACGCGUUAAGCAUCCCGCCUGUGGAGUACGGUCGCAAGACUAAAACAUAAAGGAAUUGACGGGGACCCGCACAAGCGGUGGAGCGUGUUGUUUAAUUCGAUGGUAAGCGAAGAACCUUACCCAGACUUGACAUCCUUGGAAGCACUGCGAAAGCAGAGUGUGCCUCCGGGAACCAAGUGACAGGUGUUGCAUGGCCGUCGUCAGCUCGUGUCGUGAGAUGUUUGGUUAAGUCCAUCAACGAGCGCAACCCUUGUGGCUAGUUGAAUUUUUCUAGUCAGACUGCCCUGGUAACAGGGAGGAAGGAGGGGAUGAUGUCAGGUCAGUAUUACCCUUACGUCUGGGGCUACAAACACGCUACAAUGGCCGGUACAAAGGGCUGCCAAGUCGCGAGACGGAGCAAAUCCCAUCAAAACCGGUCCCAGUUCGGAUUGCAGGCUGAAACUCGCCUGCAUGAAGUCGGAAUCGCUAGUAACGGUAGGUCAGCACACUACCGUGA